RNAcentral lists this long non-coding RNA (1384 nucleotides) under Triticum aestivum (bread wheat). Its description in RNAcentral is "long non-coding RNA (TAES_LNC008006)". Lineage: Eukaryota; Viridiplantae; Streptophyta; Magnoliopsida; Poales; Poaceae. The record is from RNAcentral.
AGGUGACCACGAAAUAUUUAUAACAUAUGACAUAUUAUCUUGAAGGACAACAUGAAGAAUAUCAGCUUACACUGGUUCUGCUUUAACAUGUAGUCCAUUCCAUAAAAAAGCUCACUCCAGUAAUACAGACCACAUCGUCAAUCAGAUGUUCUAUAAUAAUUAAAAUAAUUGCAUUGGUAAACAAAAAAACGUAACUUUUACAGUUUAACGGCAACUCAGUGUGAUGGCAUCACUGACAAUUAACUCAACAAUCGAAUAUCCUUGGAAAAAACAUCAAGAAAUAGACCAAUAAUGGUGAAACUCACUUAUGUACCAUCAUAUACACAAACACAUAAGAAUUUGGGAAACAGUUGGUUUCAGUCUCAUGGAAAGGUAUCUGAGGGUUCACAUAAUAUGAGAGAAUACUAUACUGCUCAUGCAUUACAUUCUGUCAAAGAUCGAUGACUCUGAUGGUACAACAUGGACCAGCUGCACUGCUAAAAAACGCAGAAUUAACGAGGCGAAAGAAUUUCAGGAAGAUCUCACAUUCAGAAGGUUGUAUCUUUCACUAUACUCAGCGAAAAAUUGAGAAUAAAUUAUCCAUGGAAAUCUCACACCAAAUACUUAAAAUACAUCCAUAGCCCCAUGGACAGAUUCAGCCUUGAAGUUACUUUAAACCGCCCGCAAAAUAGGAAGUCAUGACUGAAACUGCAGUCUGACGAAAACUAACAGUAAUUUCAGAUAGGCAAAUCUCCUAGAAUACCUGAAGAAAAAUUGGAAAUAAACAUUCGUUGGAAAGGUCUUGAAAAGAUAUACAACUUUUAUUUUAAUGGUUCGGUCAUAUUUGACACCUAAAACCCUCAAAACGCAAUCGGUAAGUUACUGCACGCACUGCAAACAGAGUUGUGCAAAACAGACUUGCGAAAACAAACAGCAGGGAAGGAAGGAUUACUUCACUUGAUACCUACAACAGAUCACGCCCCUGCCAUCUCUAUUUCGCUCUUUCCAUCUCUUCCCUGCAGCAAACCUUCUUUCAAGCUGCCUCAGACAUGGGUUUGGAUUGGUGUCCUCCUGAAUACUCUGCCCCUGAAGGCUUUCUUUUCCUUCUCAGAAUCUGAACUUAUCAAAAUCAAGCUAAUUAGUGGAAAAGGCUGCAUAUUGACCUCUCACUAACACAGCCACAUGUGCCAACAAAUAUCUUAACCACUCACCAGGAUCAUUCCUUGGUACAGAAAAACCAAAACAUAAUUAAGCAUAUUAUAUGAACCAGUCUUUUCAAAACCAGUAUUGGUAUUUAAAAUUAAUGAAAUUCAUAUGCAUGGACAAGUGUACGGUUUAGAAUACACAAAAAAAAAAGCAAAGUACUAUUUGGUUAUAGUCAGAGUUCCCCUACUUUGCAAUGUGG